RNAcentral lists this ribosomal RNA (608 nucleotides) under fungal sp. APA-2013. RNAcentral's name for it is "eukaryotic LSU rRNA". The stretch from base 237 to 389 matches the Rfam family "5.8S ribosomal RNA". The record is from RNAcentral. Lineage: Eukaryota; Fungi.
AUUUAGAGGAAGUAAAAGUCGUAACAAGGUUUCCGUAGGUGAACCUGCGGAAGGAUCAUUACCGAGUGAGGGCCCUUUGGGUCCAACCUCCCACCCGUGUUUAUUUACCUUGUUGCUUCGGCGGGCCCGCCUUAACUGGCCGCCGGGGGGCUUACGCCCCCGGGCCCGCGCCCGCCGAAGACACCCUCGAACUCUGUCUGAAGAUUGUAGUCUGAGUGAAAAUAUAAAUUAUUUAAAACUUUCAACAACGGAUCUCUUGGUUCCGGCAUCGAUGAAGAACGCAGCGAAAUGCGAUACGUAAUGUGAAUUGCAAAUUCAGUGAAUCAUCGAGUCUUUGAACGCACAUUGCGCCCCCUGGUAUUCCGGGGGGCAUGCCUGUCCGAGCGUCAUUGCUGCCCUCAAGCCCGGCUUGUGUGUUGGGCCCCGUCCUCCGAUUCCGGGGGACGGGCCCGAAAGGCAGCGGCGGCACCGCGUCCGGUCCUCGAGCGUAUGGGGCUUUGUCACCCGCUCUGUAGGCCCGGCCGGCGCUUGCCGAUCAACCCAAAUUUUUAUCCAGGUUGACCUCGGAUCAGGUAGGGAUACCCGCUGAACUUAAGCAUAUCAAUAAG